CACACAGCCAUUGCCAGAGGCUCGUUCCUGGCCAUUGCUGACCCUGGACUCAGCUGUAGACGGGCUUGCUCGGCCCCCACGACCGUCCCGCUCUGCCCAUUUCUGUCCGAGAGGCUGAAUGCGAAGCUCGGAGAAGGUGGCCGGCCUUGCUGUCCCAUCAGAGAGGCCUCAGAGGGCCCACAGCCAUUGCCAGGUAGGGUCCCUCCCGGGGCCUUCUGGUUUUCCUCACUCACAGGUGAAGUUGAAGGGAGGGGAUGGGCCAGGCGCGGAACUGAUGCUUUUGUGGUCAAAGUCUUAUGUUUCUCUCCUGGGUGGGGCUCAAGAGGUUUUCCCGGGAACUCUGCCAUGUCGGCUUUCAAGUGGGUGCCAGAAUCACGGGUGGCAGAGGAGGGAAAAGUAGACCGUGGAAGG
This is a long non-coding RNA of Equus quagga, 411 nucleotides long. RefSeq lists it as uncharacterized. NCBI's taxonomy places the organism in Eukaryota, Metazoa, Chordata, Mammalia, Perissodactyla, Equidae. The record is from RefSeq and is a predicted model, not a curated record. The transcript has 3 exons.